CCUACGGGAGUCAGCAGUGAGGAAUAUAGGUCAAUGGACGAGAGUCUGAACCAGCCAAGUAGCGUGAAGGAUGACUGCCCUAUGGGUUGUAAACUUCUUUUAUAUGGGAAUAAAAUGUUCCACUUGUGGGAUUUUGUAUGUACCAUAUGAAUAAGGAUCGGCUAACUCCGUGCCAGCAGCCGCGGUAAUACGGAGGAUCCGAGCGUUAUCCGGAUUUAUUGGGUUUAAAGGGAGCGUAGGUGGAUUGUUAAGUCAGUUGUGAAAGUUUGCGGCUCAACCGUAAAAUUGCAGUUGAAACUGGCAGUCUUGAGUACAGUAGAGGUGGGCGGAAUUCGUGGUGUAGCGGUGAAAUGCUUAGAUAUCACGAAGAACUCCGAUUGCGAAGGCAGUUCACUGGACUGCAACUGACACUGAGGCUCGAAAGUGUGGGUAUCAAACAGGAUUAGAUACCCCUGUAGUC
RNAcentral lists this ribosomal RNA (460 nucleotides) under uncultured bacterium. RNAcentral's name for it is "partial 16S ribosomal RNA". It matches the Rfam family "Bacterial small subunit ribosomal RNA", at positions 338 to 795 of the family's 1533-position model. The record is from RNAcentral.